RNAcentral lists this ribosomal RNA (502 nucleotides) under uncultured Oscillospiraceae bacterium. RNAcentral's name for it is "bacterial SSU rRNA". It matches the Rfam family "Bacterial small subunit ribosomal RNA", at positions 1 to 507 of the family's 1533-position model. The record is from RNAcentral. Lineage: Bacteria; Bacillati; Bacillota; Clostridia; Eubacteriales; Oscillospiraceae.
AGACGUUUGAUCCCUGGCUCAGGACGACGACUGCGGCGCGCCUAACACAUGCAAGUCGAACGGGACUAUACUGAAGAAGUUUUCGGAUGGAUUUCGGUAUAGUUUAGUGGCGGACGGGUGAGUAACACGUGAGCAACCUGCCUUCGAGAGGGGAAUAACGGCUGGAAACGGUCGCUAAUACCGCAUAACAUACUGGGAGGACAUCCUGCUGGUAUCAAAGAUUUUAUCGCUCGAAGAUGGGCUCGCGUCCGAUUAGGUAGUUGGUGAGGUAACGGCUCACCAAGCCGACGAUCGGUAGCCGGACUGAGAGGUUGAACGGCCACAUUGGGACUGAGACACGGCCCAGACUCCUACGGGAGGCAGCAGUCGGGAAUAUUGCGCAAUGGAGGAAACUCUGACGCAGUGACGCCGCGUAUAGGAAGAAGGUUUUCGGAUUGUAAACUAUUGUCGUUAGGGAAGAUAAAAGACAGUACCUAAGGAGGAAGCUCCGGCUAACUAUGUG